Long non-coding RNA from Nannospalax galili (Upper Galilee mountains blind mole rat), 360 nucleotides. RefSeq lists it as uncharacterized. The transcript is spliced from 2 exons. NCBI's taxonomy places the organism in Eukaryota, Metazoa, Chordata, Mammalia, Rodentia, Spalacidae. The record is from RefSeq and is a predicted model, not a curated record.
UAACCUAACCUAAUCUGGAUGAACCCAAAUUUUAGUUUGUAACGAAGAACGACCGAUUGUUGGAACAGCUGAUCUUGAGCAGCUAGUACAAGCCUCCCUUGCACUUCACCUGACGCUGAUGCUCACAGAGCCCAUGAUGGCAGAGCCAUGAGCAGGAACUGAUGUGGGACAGCAGCAUGGAAAGGAAACUCCAGGAGAACAGGAAAGGUUCCACCCACAGAGAAGUCCCCCGGGUCCUUGGGCUGCUGCUCGCCAUGGCCAUCAUGAAUGUGUUCCUUUACCUCUGCCUCAACCAGCUUUUCAUUUCCCCUCGCCGAUCCACCGAAGAUCCCAGGCACUGUCCUCACGGUUACUUCAGAA